RNAcentral lists this ribosomal RNA (590 nucleotides) under uncultured archaeon. RNAcentral's name for it is "partial 16S ribosomal RNA". It matches the Rfam family "Archaeal small subunit ribosomal RNA", at positions 184 to 775 of the family's 1478-position model. The record is from RNAcentral.
AGAUUGAAAGCUCCGGCGCCUANGGAUGAGUCUGCGGACUAUCAGGUUGUAGUCAGGGUAANGACCUGANUNGCNUACGNCGGAUACGGGUUGUGAGAGCAAUAACCNGGAGNCGAUAUNUGAGACNNGAUAUCGGGCCNUACGGGGNNCAGCAGGCGCGAAAACUUCACACUGUGNGAAAGCGCGAUGAGGGAAUCCCAAGUGUUUGCUNGUAAGAGUAAACUGUUUCUUUGUUUAAAACGCAGAGAGAGUAAGGGCUGGGUAAGACGGGUGCCAGCCGCCGCGGUAAUACCUGCAGCUCGAGUGGUGAUCAUUAUUAUUGGGCCUAAAACGUCCGUAGCCGGUUUAGUAAAUGCCUGGGUAAAUCGUGUAGCUUAACUAUACGACUUCCGGGUAGACUGCUAAACUUGAGACCGGGAGAGGCUAGAGGUACUCCUGGGGUAGAGGUGAAAUUCUGUAAUCCUAGGGGGACCACCAGUGGCGAAGGCGUCUAGCUAGAACGGGUCUGACGGUGAGGGACGAAGCCCUGGGGCACAAACCGGAUUAGAUACCCGGGUAGUCCAGGGUGUAAACGCUGCUUGCUUGAUGUU